RNAcentral lists this ribosomal RNA (1638 nucleotides) under Candidatus Omnitrophota bacterium. RNAcentral describes it as "partial 23S ribosomal RNA". It matches the Rfam family "Bacterial large subunit ribosomal RNA", at positions 2464 to 2925 of the family's 2925-position model. Lineage: Bacteria; Pseudomonadati; Candidatus Omnitrophota. The record is from RNAcentral.
UACUCUGGGGAUAACAGGCUUAUCGGGCUCGAGAGUUCACAUCGACAGCCCGGUUUGGCACCUCGACAUAUAGGGGUGGUUCGGGAGUAAUCUCGGACAUGUAUUGGCUAAUAACGGUGGAGCCCAAGAAGGAGGGUAAUACCGUGGGAAGUCGAUAGGAUAUAAGCAGUUAUUCUAAAGGUUUUUUCUCUUGGUGACAGGUUCAAAAACGAUAUCUUCUGAUAUAGAAAUCCGAAAAUAUGACUAUCUGAAAGUGUUUCCUGUAUCAGGGUAUCGUGAACGUAUGUCACCUUGGGAAAACCAUAUUCUAUCUGACCCCGUAACGACUGAGCCUCCGCUGUUUCAUCUGUGAAACAAUACGCGGAGGCGAGAUAGCAGGUAUUUUUUUACUGCUAUCAUACGCCAACCCCCCGCUGAUUUGCUUACUGCUUGCGCAAAUCAAUAGGCGGGGGUGAAGAUAUAGUCUAAUCCCACACGAAAGUGUGGAGCAAUUGCGAUGUCGGCUCAUCCUAUCCUGGGGCUGUAUAAGGUCCCAAGGGUCCGGCUGUUCGCCGGUUAAAAGGGUACGCGAGCUGGGUUCAGAACGUCGUGAGACAGUAAAUUGACCGUUGCUGUCUUUAAAUCUGGCUAUAUGCUGGAAAAUCUGGGGUAUCCCAUAUUACUACUUGACGAUUAGUCGCUAUGUUUUAUGAUAGAUCGAAAGGAGUAAUAAUAUAUGGGUGCAGACAACCAGCAGGAAAGGCCGCGCGGGAUUGCAUCUUACUACAUAAGCGGUUUUGUUGAUGGAGAAGGGUGUUUUUCUGUAACAGUGCAGAGAAGCCGAAAUGUGAAACUCGGGAUACAAGUGAUUCCUGAGUUCCAUGUUUCACAGCAUCAAAACAGAACUGAAGUCCUCGACGCCAUGCAUGCAAAGUUUGGCUGUGGUUACGUCAAACCAAACCAUGCUGCAAACACGCGUGACUUGACUUCAGUGUAUGUUGUUAGAAAUAUCAAAGACCUCCGUAAUAAAAUCGUGCCGUUCUUUAGGAAGUAUCCGCUUAUUUCUAUCAAACAGCGAGAUUUUGAAAAGUUUGCUGAGGUGAUAGAAAUGAUGGAGAAAAAGCUGCACCUGACUAAAGAGGGUUUAAUUAAAAUAUUGGAGCUUGCGUUCUCCAUGAAUGCGAGCGGUCGAUAUCGAAAAUUAAGGUUAGAAGAUGUGAUUGCCGUAGUGGAAUCCUCAGAGACUGUAUGCCAGACGUCUGCCUAAGCAGAUAAAGAUACAGUCCGAACUGCAUAGCGAUAUGCAGAGACAGGCAGAAAUGUCCUGUCCUCCGCUUUGUGCGGAAGUAACAUUAUUGUCGGUCUCUAUCUGAUGUGGGCGUUAGGAUAUUUGAAGGGGAGUUCUCUUCAGUACGAGAGGACCUAGAGAAACGAACCUCUGGUGUUCCAGCUGUCCCGCCAGGGGCAAAGGUUGGGUAGCUAUGUUCGGAAGGGAUAAGCGCUGAAAGCAUCUAAGUGCCAAGCCCACCCCAAGACGAAAUAUCCCUGUACCGCAAGGUACUGAAGGCUGGUUGUAGACCACAACCUUGAUAGGCGCAUUGUGUAAGGGCUGUGAGGCCUUAAGCUAACGCGUACUAAUCAGCCAAUCGGCUUGGCCUU